UACGUAGGGGGCAAGCGUUAUCCGGAAUUACUGGGUGUAAAGGGAGCGUAGGCGGCACGCCAAGCCAGAUGUGAAAGCCCGAGGCUUAACCUCGUGGAUUGCAUUUGGAACUGGAGAGCUAGAGUACAGGAGAGGAAAGCGGAAUUCCUAGUGUAGCGGUGAAAUGCGUAGAUAUUAGGAAGAACACCAGUGGCGAAGGCGGCUUUCUGGACUGAAACUGACGCUGAGGCUCGAAAGCGUGGGGAGCAAACAGG
RNAcentral lists this ribosomal RNA (254 nucleotides) under Anaerotignum lactatifermentans. RNAcentral's name for it is "partial 16S ribosomal RNA". It matches the Rfam family "Bacterial small subunit ribosomal RNA", at positions 524 to 776 of the family's 1533-position model. Lineage: Bacteria; Bacillati; Bacillota; Clostridia; Lachnospirales; Anaerotignaceae. The record is from RNAcentral.